Molecule: ribosomal RNA, 1346 nt
Filed under: uncultured bacterium
Lineage: Bacteria
Description: partial 16S ribosomal RNA
Rfam family: Bacterial small subunit ribosomal RNA
Source: RNAcentral
GACGAACGCUGGCGGCGUGCUUAACACAUGCAAGUCGAACGGAAAGGCCCUGCUUUUGUGGGGUGCUCGAGUGGCGAACGGGUGAGUAACACGUGAGUAACCUGCCCUUGACUUUGGGAUAACUUCAGGAAACUGGGGCUAAUACCGGAUAGGAGCUCCUGCUGCAUGGUGGGGGUUGGAAAGUUUCGGCGGUUGGGGAUGGACUCGCGGCUUAUCAGCUUGUUGGUGGGGUAGUGGCUUACCAAGGCUUUGACGGGUAGCCGGCCUGAGAGGGUGACCGGCCACAUUGGGACUGAGAUACGGCCCAGACUCCUACGGGAGGCAGCAGUGGGGAAUAUUGCACAAUGGGCGGAAGCCUGAUGCAGCAACGCCGCGUGCGGGAUGACGGCCUUCGGGUUGUAAACCGCUUUCGCCUGUGACGAAGCGUGAGUGACGGUAAUGGGUAAAGAAGCACCGGCUAACUACGUGCCAGCAGCCGCGGUGAUACGUAGGGUGCGAGCGUUGUCCGGAUUUAUUGGGCGUAAAGGGCUCGUAGGUGGUUGAUCGCGUCGGAAGUGUAAUCUUGGGGCUUAACCCUGAGCGUGCUUUCGAUACGGGUUGACUUGAGGAAGGUAGGGGAGAAUGGAAUUCCUGGUGGAGCGGUGGAAUGCGCAGAUAUCAGGAGGAACACCAGUGGCGAAGGCGGUUCUCUGGGCCCUUCCUGACGCUGAGGAGCGAAAGCGUGGGGAGCGAACAGGCUUAGAUACCCUGGUAGUCCACGCUGUAAACGGUGGGUACUAGGUGUGGGGUCCAUUCCACGGGUUCCGUGCCGUAGCUAACGCUUUAAGUACCCCGCCUGGGGAGUACGGCCGCAAGGCUAAAACUCAAAGGAAUUGACGGGGCCCCGCACAAGCGGCGGAGCAUGCGGAUUAAUUCGAUGCAACGCGUAGAACCUUACCUGGGUUUGACAUGGAUCGGGAGUGCUCAGAGAUGGGUGUGCCUCUUUUGGGGUCGGUUCACAGGUGGUGCAUGCCUGUCGUCAGCUCGUGUCGUGAGAUGUUGGGUUAAGUCCCGCAACGAGCGCAACCCUUGUUCACUGUUGCCAGCACGUUAUGGUGGGGACUCAGUGGAGACCGCCGGGGUCAACUCGGAGGAAGGUGGGGAUGACGUCAAGUCAUCAUGCCCCUUAUGUCCAGGGCUUCACGCAUGCUACAAUGGCUGGUACAGAGAGUGGCGAGCCUGUGAGGGUGAGCGAAUCUCGGAAAGCCGGUCUCAGUUCGGAUUGGGGUCUGCAACUCGACCUCAUGAAGUCGGAGUCGCUAGUAAUCGCAGAUCAGCAACGCUGCGGUGAAUAAAUCCCCGGGGCU